GUGCUCGCUUCGGCAGCACAUAUACUAAAAAUUGGAACGAUACAGAAAUUAGCAUGGCCCCUGCGCAAAGAUGACACGCAAAUUUGUGAAGCAAUCCAUAUUUAA
RNAcentral lists this small nuclear RNA (105 nucleotides) under Cebus imitator (Panamanian white-faced capuchin). Lineage: Eukaryota; Metazoa; Chordata; Mammalia; Primates; Cebidae. The record is from RNAcentral.